CAUAAACUGAUCUAGCUGGAUGUGGAAAUGAGCCUGGUGCUUCGUCUUAGUCUAGUUCAGCACAUUUUUCGCAGGUGACUUUGGUGGAAACAUGGGCGUGCAUGUAUGUGCAUGUGUGUGUGUGCGUGUAUCGCUGUGUGUGCAUGUGUGUCUGCGUAUAUCUGUAUGUGUGUCUGCCUAUGUGUAUCUGUAUGUGCAUAUGUGUGUCUGUGUGUCUCUGUGUAUCGGUAUGUGUGUGUCUGCGUAUGUGUGUCUGUGUGUACAUGUGUGUGUCUCUGUGUGUCUGUGUCUGCAUGUGUCUCUGUGUGUGCAUGUGUAUGUCUGCGUGUGUCUCUAUAUAUCUGUACGUGUGUCUCUGCAUGUCUGCCUAUGUCUGCAUAUGUGUGUGUCUGUAUGUGCAUGUGUGUGCAUAUGUGUGUCUGUGUCCCUGUCUAUCUGUAUGUGUGUGUCUCUGUGUGUCUGUGUGCACAUGUGUGUCUGUGUGUCUCUGUGUAUCUGUAUGUGUGUGUCUUUGUGUAUGUGUGUCUGUGUGUACAUGUGUGUGUCUCUGUGUGUGCAUAUGUGUGUCUCAUGUGUCUCUGUAUGUGUGUGUAUCAGCGUGUCUGUGUGUGUCUGCGUAUGUAUGUGUGUCCAUGCUUACAAAUGCUUGCCCCCCAGAUUCUCACACCCAGCUUCUCUCUGCAGCCCCCAGUGUGCCGGCUUAGGGCUGCCCCCGCCUGCGAUGUGCCUGAGCCCUCGGUGAGGAUGCUGAGAACACAGUGGCAAGUGUGCCUCCCACUAGCCGUGCAAGACGAGUGUGAGUGGAGACACUGUGUGCGGUGUGCAGCCCAGUGCCCGCCGAGACCCUCCAGUCAUGGGCAAAGAGAACGACGCUUCCUCUCCUUUCGUACUCUCCCGAGACCUUGGAUGCUGAGCACAAUCAAAUCCAGGUAGCUUUAGCCUCUAGAGACACCGGAGUAUUCCAGAAACCAUCUGCGAACAGGAGAUCUGUGUCCCUGGCCCUACACCGUGAUGGGCAGCACAACAGGGACAACGCUGUCCCCGUGAGACCACGGUGGCUCCAGCUGUGCUGGGACCUGCAGAGUGUCCGUGCC
RNAcentral lists this long non-coding RNA (1094 nucleotides) under Oryctolagus cuniculus (rabbit). RNAcentral describes it as "lncRNA (ENSOCUG00000031992.1)". The record is from RNAcentral. Lineage: Eukaryota; Metazoa; Chordata; Mammalia; Lagomorpha; Leporidae.